AAAACCGUGUAACGAUACGUCUAAUAAGACUCACGCAUCUUAUAUAACAUUAGAGCCUGUUGAUUUGCAACCCUCUGCGAAUAAGACAUCGGAAACACCGAAUUAUGAUACUAUACAAGAUGUACUCCUACCAAUGUCUUCGUUAUCUGCGCAAGGACCAGUAGUACAUUCUGAAACUACUCAAGAAAAUGAUGGAAAUGAAGACGCAUUCAUAACUGAAAUGGAUAACAAGGAAAGCUAUUUCCAACCCUUAUCAGGACGGCGAAUAAUUGAUAUAAAUUAUUUUUUACAAAAAUUCCAUGAAAAAGCACGCUAUAAUGAUCUAUUUGAUUGUAAAUCAAGCAACUUCUGCUUUAAAUUGAAAUGUUAUAUGUGUAAAGAAAUUUGUUCUAUUUUAUCUGAAAACACCAAAGAUACCGAGCAUGUAGAUGCUAAUAUAGCUGCUACCACUGGAGUUGUAGCCUCUGGUAUGGUUUUUCUCAGAUUGAAGAGUUAUUUUCAGCAAUAAACAUUCCUAUAUUUUCUACAAAAUUCUUUAAUCAAAUGCAAAAUAAACUUUAUAAGAAAUGGGAAGAAACUGCAUGUGAAACAAUGGAAGCUGCUGCCAAUAAAGAAAAAGAGAUUGCUUUAGCAGAUGGCCGGACCAACAACGGCUAUGCUGUCAUAGAUGUCUAUGUGGAUGGAGCAUGGUGUGCUAGGUCAUAUGGUUCAAACUAUAAAGCUUCAUCAGGUGCAGCAGCCAUAAUUGGCAGAAAUACGGGUGAAGUUUUCUACUUCGGUGUCAAAAAUAAAUAUUGUCUUGUAUGUGCCCGAGCCGAAAAUAAAAAAAACUGCAUCGCAAGACCACUUGUGUUUCAAAAAUUUUCAGGGAUCGUCUAGUUCAAUGGAAGCCGACAUAAUCGUUGAAGGUUUCAAAAACUUAAUUUCCACGUAUGGUAUAAUAUAUGGCAGAAUGGUAGGAGAUGGUGAUUCUUCGACCUACUCUAAAAUUCUUAUCUCAAAUACUUAUGAAAGUCAAAAUUUGACGGUUGAAAAAUUAGAGUGCCGCAAUCAUAUAUUGCGCAAUUUUUGCAAAAAGCUAAAGCAGUCACCACAGAAACUAAAUACAU
Molecule: long non-coding RNA, 1109 nt
Organism: Leptidea sinapis
Lineage: Eukaryota; Metazoa; Arthropoda; Insecta; Lepidoptera; Pieridae
Exons: 3
Source: RefSeq, a predicted model, not a curated record